UAGCACCGCUAUCCACUAUGUC
Molecule: microRNA, 22 nt
Filed under: human gammaherpesvirus 4 (Epstein-Barr virus)
Lineage: Duplodnaviria; Heunggongvirae; Peploviricota; Herviviricetes; Herpesvirales; Orthoherpesviridae
Description: ebv-miR-BART1-3p
Gene: ebv-miR-BART1-3p
Source: miRBase by way of RNAcentral